UACGAAGGGGGCUAGCGUUGCUCGGAAUUACUGGGCGUAAAGGGCGCGUAGGCGGACAGUUUAGUCAGAGGUAAAAGCCCAGGGCUCAACCUUGGAACUGCCUUUGAUACUGGCUGUCUUGAGUUCGGGAGAGGUGAGUGGAAUGCCGAGUGUAGAGGUGAAAUUCGUAGAUAUUCGGCGGAACACCAGUGGCGAAGGCGACUCACUGGCCCGAUACUGACGCUGAGGUGCGAAAGCGUGGGGAGCAAACAGG
Molecule: ribosomal RNA, 253 nt
Filed under: uncultured bacterium
Lineage: Bacteria
Description: partial 16S ribosomal RNA
Rfam family: Bacterial small subunit ribosomal RNA
Source: RNAcentral